AUUGUUGUGAUGAAAACCUUACUCAGCUCACUCAGAGUCUUCGGGCGGUGCUGAUAACAACCCUUUUCCAACAUUCAUCAAACCUCUGAUCUCAAU
RNAcentral lists this small nucleolar RNA (96 nucleotides) under Scheffersomyces stipitis CBS 6054. The record is from RNAcentral. Lineage: Eukaryota; Fungi; Ascomycota; Pichiomycetes; Serinales; Debaryomycetaceae.